This 84-nucleotide transfer RNA is filed under the name Dysgonomonas sp. HDW5A. It matches the Rfam family "tRNA". From Rfam's summary of the family: Transfer RNA (tRNA) molecules are approximately 80 nucleotides in length. Their secondary structure includes four short double-helical elements and three loops (D, anti-codon, and T loops). RNAcentral also lists the same sequence under 1 other name. Lineage: Bacteria; Pseudomonadati; Bacteroidota; Bacteroidia; Bacteroidales; Dysgonomonadaceae. The record is from Rfam by way of RNAcentral.
GCACACGUGGUGGAAUUGGUAGACACGCUACUUUGAGGUGGUAGUUUCUGUAAGGAUGUGCAAGUUCGAGUCUUGUCGUGUGUA